GGGAUUGUGGCUCAGUGGCAGAGCACUCACCUAGCAUGCGUGGGGACCUGGGUUCAAUCCUCAGCACCA
This is a non-coding RNA of Ictidomys tridecemlineatus (thirteen-lined ground squirrel), 69 nucleotides long. Lineage: Eukaryota; Metazoa; Chordata; Mammalia; Rodentia; Sciuridae. The record is from Rfam.